UGGGAUUGAUGUACUAAACAUAUUGAGUUUGGAUUAUUGCUAGGACGUGUUAAAGUAAAGUUAGAGUAUUGUGGUGGCGUGCCGGAGUAAAUAACAAGCGAUCGGCCAAUGGAAAUAGUUAGAGACACCUUCGAACAAAUAAUGACCUAAUACCUCGUUGUUGCCAGGUGAGUGAAGUUGCAUUAAAAUGUUUUGGAAUAAAUGAUUUUAUGCUUGGUUGAGCCCCUCGAAAUAUUUUGUUGGUUUUUCUUUAAAAGUUGCAUGGGAACAAGCCCUUGAUGAAAUUUUUUGAUAUUAUGAGAUAUGAACAUGAUGAAUUCAUGAGUUUCUACAAUAUGUUGAUGUGUAUAUUAUACAUUAAAUGAUAUUUUUUGUAUGAUAAUUAUGACCCAGCCAUGAGCGGUGUAGGAGUGCACAUGAGCUGUGCUGACCCAGCCAUGUACGGUGUAAGAGUGCACAUGAGCUGUGCUGACCCGGCUAUGUGUGGUGUAUGAGUGCACAUGAGCUGAGACAAAGUUGAGGGGGUGAGGCCGGUGGUUAUAUAUAUGUUUAUAUAUGAUAUAUAUAUAUAUAUAUAUAUAUAUAUACAUAUAUAUAGAGGUUUGGAAAUUAUAUAUUGUGGUUGUAUUGAUUUUUGAAUGUUAAAACUUGAGAAACGGUUUCCACUUGAUUUUCACCGCAGCAAAGACAGAUUUCCGUUGUGACAAGAAAUUGAGUUAAAUUGCAUUGUCUUCAACAUAAAUGCAUCAUGAUUUCUAAAACUUCCCAUAUUGAUGCUUGUUCCCUUCCUAUGUUCACUCACUGAGUUUGUACUCACGUUUUUAACUUCAUGUUUUCAGAUUCAGUUGUGGUUGAUACGUAGAUUGAGGUGUCCUUGUACCCCAUCCCUUGGGUAGGUAUCUUGACACUCAGUAGUCAUAUCUCCCCAGCCAGAGUCACUCUGCUAACGGUUAAAGUCUUUGUAUUUGCUUCAUGUGAAUCGCAAAGAUAUAUUGACAAACUAUUUAUGUAUGAUUUGAAUUAUGAUGCUAAUGUGAGCAUUCACUUGGGUUUUAUGAGUUACGUUGAAGAAAUCGACAUUUAAACACUAUUAAGC
RNAcentral lists this long non-coding RNA (1096 nucleotides) under Theobroma cacao (cacao). Its description in RNAcentral is "long non-coding RNA (TCAC_LNC003826)". The record is from RNAcentral. Lineage: Eukaryota; Viridiplantae; Streptophyta; Magnoliopsida; Malvales; Malvaceae.